Molecule: ribosomal RNA, 279 nt
Filed under: uncultured bacterium
Lineage: Bacteria
Description: partial 16S ribosomal RNA
Rfam family: Bacterial small subunit ribosomal RNA
Source: RNAcentral
UGCCAGCCGCCGCGGUAAUACGGAGGGUGCAAGCGUUAAUCGGAAUUACUGGGCGUAAAGCGCACGUAGGCGGACUUUUAAGUCAGGGGUGAAAUCCCGGAGCUCAACUCCGGAACUGCCUUUGAUACUGGAAGUCUUGAGUCCGAGAGAGGUGAGUGGAACUCCGAGUGUAGAGGUGAAAUUCGUAGAUAUUCGGAGGAACACCAGUGGCGAAGGCGGCCUGCUGGGCUUGUUCUGACGCUAAGGCGCGAAAGCGUGGGGAGCAAACGGGAUUAGAUA